This 249-nucleotide ribosomal RNA is filed under the name uncultured Actinomycetes bacterium. Its description in RNAcentral is "uncultured actinobacterium partial 16S ribosomal RNA". It matches the Rfam family "Bacterial small subunit ribosomal RNA", at positions 355 to 615 of the family's 1533-position model. The record is from RNAcentral. Lineage: Bacteria; Bacillati; Actinomycetota; Actinomycetes.
UGGGGAAUCUUGCGCUAAUGCGCGAAAGCGUGACGCAGCGACGCCGCGGGGGGGAUGAAGGCCUUCGGGUUGUAAACCCCUUUCGGCAGGGACGAAGCGGAAGUGACGGUACCUGCAGAAGAAGCUCCGGCUAACUACGUGCCAGCAGCCGCGGUAACACGUAGGGAGCGAGCGUUGUCCGGAUUCAUUGGGCGUAAAGCGCGCGUAGGCGGUCGUGCAAGUCGGUCGUGAAAUCCCGGGGCUCAACCG